This is a long non-coding RNA of Zonotrichia leucophrys gambelii, 1543 nucleotides long. RefSeq lists it as uncharacterized. The transcript is spliced from 3 exons. The record is from RefSeq and is a predicted model, not a curated record. Lineage: Eukaryota; Metazoa; Chordata; Aves; Passeriformes; Passerellidae.
GCUGCUUCUUUCCUCGCAGAUGGAUGAGCUCUCUCACUGUUGCUGCCCACCGCUGCCUCUGCUCCGAGCACGGCAUGGAUGCGGGACCGGUGGGAAGGGAGGUGCCACUGGGAAGAGCAGGAUCUGGCCGUGCCGGGAUGCAGGAGCUGCUGUCCAGAAUUCCUAUGCAGACAAAUCUCCUCCCUGUGGAUCACACUCUUGAAAGCCUGGCAUAGUGCAGAUGGUCUAUGAAGAGCACACUGCAGGACUUUUGACCCUGGCAGAUCUGCAGAGAAGAAGACCAUUCCCCACUUUCUGUGUCAGAAGUGGCUCCAGAUGACCAAUCAAUGUGCAGAAACCAUGUGAGGAAUACAAUUCUUGGCAAAUGAAGUCCAUCAACUCAACCGGGGACUAAUUAUGCAAUUGCUGCCUCUGGAAGUAAAUGACCAGUGCAUGAUUUAGGAAGGAUCCCACAGAUGCUGCAGCCUGGUGUGGUAGAUCACCCACCCACCUGUUCUCAAGCCAGAAAGGAGCUCAAACCUGGACAGUCAGAGGGAUGAGGAUGGUCACCCUUGCUGGCUGCCACAGAAGAUCCUCCUGAUGUCCUAAUGAGUUACUUAAUAUUAUAGACUUCUAUCACCCCCAGUGUUUUUACCUGCACUAUUUUUGAUGCACGUUGCAUUUAGAAAUAUGCUAGGAUCUUUUAUUUGUUAGAGAUGCAAUAGUUGUUAAAUUGUAUUUGUUAUUGACCUUAGCAGCAAUAAACUGUAGCAAGAGUAGUCUGUUGUAAACACCGCUAAAUCAUAAUCAGCUGGCAUAAUGCUGGUAUUUCUGACCAUUUGUACCACACCCUGUAAAGUGCACUUGAUAAUAGUACAUAAAAGUGUAAGAGUACUCUAUACAGUUUUGGAAUGGACUGGAUUUAAAGACAUAUUCAACCAAUUUAUCAUUUAACUUACAGCUUCACAAAAGCUAUUAAACAACACAGUGAGCCUGGAGGCCACACAUAUGCUACAGCCCUGGAAAUGUAAAGAAGUUCAUUUGAAUCCCUUAAUAAUGACCUUGACCUAUUGAACAAGGUGUACUUAUUGUCAACAAUUCAUCUCACUCUUGACCCUGGCAAAAUGCCUAACCUUUGAAUACUUCUGGUUGGGGGAGGAAGGGCUUGGGGUGUUUUUUUCUUUCCCCUGGUGAAAUGGGCCAAUUUUUUUCCCUGUUUAGCAAAAUCUGGAACACAGAUCAUUAGAAUGCUUUUGGCAGCUAAUUUGAACAUCAGUGACUCAACUUUGAGAAGGAAGCCUUUUUCUGCCCUAAAGAAUCUCAGAGAGUUUUCAGACUACAGUAAUUGAAAAAUCCCUAAACACUCACUCACAGAGGAGAUACACAUUACUGCAGGAACAGUCUACAAAUUGUAAAGUAUUCAAUUUACAUUCUCAGUACCUCAGGGCAGUUGUGAAGAAUUUAUAUCUUCAGAAACCUUUGAACUAACAAAAGAUAACAUUUCACAGCAAAGUCUACUUGCAUAAAAGUUUUUUAACUCCCUUCAUUCUUAUUCUGAAGGAAG